RNAcentral lists this unclassified non-coding RNA (174 nucleotides) under soil metagenome. Its description in RNAcentral is "partial contains 5.8S ribosomal RNA, internal transcribed spacer 2, and large subunit ribosomal RNA". The record is from RNAcentral.
AACCUAGCACACCUGCGGUGUGUACCUGCGGAAGGAUCAUUAAUGAAUCUCGGUACUAGUAAGUACUAGGCCAAUGUUUUGUCCCAACGUGUGAUGUAUAUGGCAUCAUGAGAUUGACUGAAUAAGAUGGGCUUUUAUGGAUACCAAAUUGAUACAACUUUCAGCAACGGAUCU